CAGCCGCCACGGGAAUACGGAGGGCGCGAGCGUUACCCGGAUUUACUGGGCGUAAAGGGCGUGUAGGCGGCCUGGGGCGUCCCAUGUGAAAGGCCACGGCUCAACCGUGGAGGAGCGUGGGAUACGCUCAGGCUAGAGGGUGGGAGAGGGUGGUGGAAUUCCCGGAGUAGCGGUGAAAUGCGCAGAUACCGGGAGGAACGCCGAUGGCGAAGGCAGCCACCUGGUCCACUUCUGACGCUGAGGCGCGAAAGCGUGGGGAGCAAACCGGAUUAGAUACCCCCGUAUCCCUGUCUCUUAUACA
RNAcentral lists this ribosomal RNA (301 nucleotides) under uncultured bacterium. RNAcentral describes it as "partial 16S ribosomal RNA". It matches the Rfam family "Bacterial small subunit ribosomal RNA", at positions 509 to 809 of the family's 1533-position model. The record is from RNAcentral.